RNAcentral lists this non-coding RNA (23 nucleotides) under Rattus norvegicus (Norway rat). The record is from RNAcentral. Lineage: Eukaryota; Metazoa; Chordata; Mammalia; Rodentia; Muridae.
ACUAUGGGCUGACAUUAAGAGGU